UUUACUGUCUUUGAAGAUGAAGUCCUCUGUUUAUCCACACAACACGUACAGGACGACACAUUCUCAAGUUUCCCUACUAGUGUGGAUCAUUCCUGUCCUAGAAUGUAGUUCAGUCUCCAUACCCAUUCAGUCUUUGCCCUCU
Chelonoidis abingdonii (Abingdon island giant tortoise) is the source of this 142-nucleotide unclassified non-coding RNA. Lineage: Eukaryota; Metazoa; Chordata; Testudines; Testudinidae. The record is from Ensembl.